Molecule: non-coding RNA, 81 nt
Filed under: Candidatus Contendibacter
Lineage: Bacteria; Pseudomonadati; Pseudomonadota; Gammaproteobacteria; Candidatus Competibacteraceae
Also listed under: 1 other name
Description: Candidatus Contendobacter SAH sequence
Rfam family: SAH (S-adenosyl-L-homocysteine) riboswitch aptamer
Source: RNAcentral
CAUGCUGAGGGGCGCUGCAACGGUAUUCACCGUCAGGCUCGGCAUGGCACGGCUUUCACAAGCCAACGGCGCCCGUUCAAC